GUGAUAAUUGAAUUUAACGGCCGCGGUAGCAUGACCGUGCUAAGGUAGCAUAAUCAUUUGUCCUUUAAUUGAGGACUGGUAUAAACGGCUGCACAAGAAAUUGUCUGUCUCUACUAUAAAGUUUGAAAUUCACAUUUAAGUGAAAAGGCUUAAAUGGAAUAGGGGGACGAUAAGACCCUAUAAAUCUUUACAAUUAGGGCUUUAGUUAUUAGAAAGUAGUUAUGGAUCUAAAUCUAAGGUUUAAAUUGUUUUGUUGGGGCGACAGAAGUAUAAUAAGUAACUGCUUUGGUUUUCAUAUUAAUUGUUUUUAUUAUGGUUAGUUUAAAAGAUCCUCUUUUGGAGAUCACAGACUAAGUUACUUUAGGGAUAACAGCGUAAUCUUUCUUGAGAGUUCAUAUCGAAAGAAGGGUUUGCGACCUCGAUGUUGAAUUAAAGAACCUUUAUGGUGUAGCCGC
This 455-nucleotide ribosomal RNA is filed under the name Panulirus argus (Caribbean spiny lobster). Its description in RNAcentral is "partial 16S ribosomal RNA". It matches the Rfam family "Bacterial large subunit ribosomal RNA", at positions 1911 to 2562 of the family's 2925-position model. Lineage: Eukaryota; Metazoa; Arthropoda; Malacostraca; Decapoda; Palinuridae. The record is from RNAcentral.